CCCUUAGAUGUUCUGGGCCGCACGCGCGCUACACUGAUGCAUUCAACGAGUCUAAAACCUGCUCUGAUAGGGGUGGGUAAUCUUUUGAAUGUGCAUCGUGAUUGGGAUAGAUGAUUGCAAUUUUUCAUCUUCAACGAGGAAUUCCUAGUAAGCGCGAGUCAUCAGCUCGCGUUGAUUACGUCCCUGCCCUUUGUACACACCGCCCGUCGCUCCUACCGAUUGAAUGGUCCGGUGAAAUCUUCGGAUUGCUGACCAAGAUCCAGCAAUGGAGCUUGGUUGCGAGAAGUUGAUUAAACCUUAUUAUUUAGAGGAAGGAGAAGUCGUAACA
RNAcentral lists this ribosomal RNA (328 nucleotides) under uncultured eukaryote. RNAcentral's name for it is "partial 18S ribosomal RNA". It matches the Rfam family "Eukaryotic small subunit ribosomal RNA", at positions 1470 to 1796 of the family's 1831-position model. The record is from RNAcentral.